This 484-nucleotide ribosomal RNA is filed under the name uncultured bacterium. Its description in RNAcentral is "bacterial SSU rRNA". It matches the Rfam family "Bacterial small subunit ribosomal RNA", at positions 28 to 511 of the family's 1533-position model. The record is from RNAcentral.
GAUGAACGCUAGCGGGAGGCCUAAUACAUGCAAGUCGAACGGUAACAGGUAGCAAUACGCUGACGAGUGGCGCACGGGUGAGUAACACGUACACAAUCUGCCUUAUACUGGGGCAUAUCCUCGCGAAAGUGAGAGCAAUUCCCCAUAAUAUAUUUGAAUGGCAUCAUUUGAAUAUUAAAGCUCAGGCGGUAUAAGAUGAGUGUGCGUCUGAUUAGGUAGUUGGUGAGGUAAUGGCUCACCAAGCCUGCGAUCAGUAGCUGGUCUGAGAGGAUGAUCAGUCACACGGACACUGAGACACGGGUCCGACUCCUACGGGAGGCAGCAGUAGGGAAUAUUGGACAAUGGGCGCGAGCCUGAUCCAGCCAUCCCGCGUGAAGGAUGAAGGCCCUCUGGGUCGUAAACUUCUUUUAUAUGGGACGAAAAAAGGGUUUUCUAACUCGUCUGACGGUACCAUAUGAAUAAGCACCGGCUAACUCCGUGCCAG